This is a long non-coding RNA of Chiloscyllium plagiosum (whitespotted bambooshark), 854 nucleotides long. RefSeq lists it as uncharacterized. The record is from RefSeq and is a predicted model, not a curated record. NCBI's taxonomy places the organism in Eukaryota, Metazoa, Chordata, Chondrichthyes, Orectolobiformes, Hemiscylliidae.
UUCUCUGGACACCUUCUGCCUGAAUGGUUCGGUGCUCCCAGUCUUUGCUGAUUCAGCGCUGGCGGUAUGUCGACCUUCUGGACCCCAGUCUCCAAGCUGCUGUUCAUGCUUCUGUAGCAUGAAAGAGAUCGGGGCCAUCUUCUCCUCCAACAUCUCACAAGAUUUCAGGAGCUCCUUCACCAGGGCCUUGUAGGUAAUCGAGUCUGAGGAUCCUGCAGGCUGGACUGUGGGCCCAGCCUAGAUGCUUCUCCUCCCUUCUUCGGCAUUUCUGAACAGCGAAAACACAGAAAGUGGAGCGUACUUGAAAUCUUCUUUCGAAUGGCCGUGGAAAAUGAUUAAGAAGACGGAACAAUAUCUGAUGUGACAACAACCUGGGACGUACGGCACUGCUGAUGCUGCUCCUAUAACAAUCUGUUCAAGAUGUAGAUCAUUUGACUUUUUUUUUAACUGGCCUAUACUUCACUGGGGCUAUCUUGACAGUGGCUUUUAGUGGAGUACCACUGGAUAACGAUCCCAGUAAGUGAUGAUUCCGCAAAAUGAUCCCUGACACCCAUCUGAACAAUGGUGCUAAUAACUCUCAUUCAAUGUAAAUAUCAACACCACAAAUUUGGCCCAAUGAUCCAAUGGGCCAUCUAGUACCUUUAAAUUCAAUAUUUGCUGGUGACACUAAAAUUGAAUGGCAAAUAGAAUGUGUCAAAUGUUUUUCAUGUGGUGAUCUCCAUGUGCUGCCAACUCCUCCACCCACCCCCACUGCCCUAAUGUAGACAAUACUCAUACAUUGCAAGUCCCAGUCUUGUUUUAUUCAUAGAUCAAUAAAUAUUAUUGUCACAAAUAAAUUGCACAUGUAAACAAAC